RNAcentral lists this ribosomal RNA (468 nucleotides) under uncultured bacterium. Its description in RNAcentral is "partial 16S ribosomal RNA". It matches the Rfam family "Bacterial small subunit ribosomal RNA", at positions 28 to 507 of the family's 1533-position model. The record is from RNAcentral.
GACGAACGCUGGCGGCGUGCUUAACACAUGCAAGUCGAACGGUGAUGCUCCAGCUUGCUGGCGUGGAUCAGUGGCGAACGGGUGAGUAACACGUGAGCAACCUGCCCCAGACUCUGGAAUAAGCGCUGGAAACGGCGUCUAAUACUGGAUACGAAACUGGCCCGCAUGGGCAUGGUUUGGAAAGUUUUUCGGUUUGGGAUGGGCUCGCGGCCUAUCAGCUUGUUGGUGAGGUAAUGGCUCACCAAGGCGACGACGGGUAGCCGGCCUGAGAGGGCGACCGGCCACACUGGGACUGAGACACGGCCCAGACUCCUACGGGAGGCAGCAGUGGGGAAUAUUGCACAAUGGGCGAAAGCCUGAUGCAGCGACGCCGCGUGAGGGAUGACGGCCUUCGGGUUGUAAACCUCUUUCAGCAGGGAAGAAGCGAAAGUGACGGUACCUGCAGGAGAAGCACCGGCUAACUACGUG